RNAcentral lists this ribosomal RNA (142 nucleotides) under uncultured eukaryote. Its description in RNAcentral is "partial 18S ribosomal RNA". It matches the Rfam family "Eukaryotic small subunit ribosomal RNA", at positions 1299 to 1458 of the family's 1831-position model. The record is from RNAcentral.
UGGUGGAGUGAUUUGUCUGCUUAAUUGCGAUAACGAACGAGACCUUAACCUACUAAAUAGUUACGUGAACCUUGGUGUUCGCGGCCAACUUCUUAGAGGGACUAUCGCGUGCUUUAACCGAAGGAAGUUUGAGGCAAUAACA